RNAcentral lists this microRNA precursor (84 nucleotides) under Bombyx mori (domestic silkworm). RNAcentral describes it as "mir-2807 microRNA precursor family". It matches the Rfam family "mir-2807 microRNA precursor family". The record is from Rfam by way of RNAcentral. Lineage: Eukaryota; Metazoa; Arthropoda; Insecta; Lepidoptera; Bombycidae.
UUAGCUCAUAUUUGUAUGGAAUGGGAUCGUUUGCGUACGUUUGCCGCUAGGGGCGCUGUUCCAACUGCAUACAAAUUUGAGUUA